CCUGCUAGUACAUGUCUGAAAUUGUUAUUCCCAUUAAACAAUUUAUUAAUUCUUGAUUGUAAAUUGCAAAUCCUCAAAGAUUAGGAAAUCAUCGCCGGUAGAUAAUGCCUUAAGUCGAAAGGAAGUAAACGUUUGCAUAUUUCGCUCACAAUUUAUGACGUUAUCAGAAAAUAGAAUACGUUGCCUAGAAUAUUUGUGUUUAUAAUCUUCUAUAAUUAUAUUUACACUAGGGAUAAAUAUGUCUCUCUUAAAAAGAAAACUAAUAACAAAAUUUUGAUUUUCAUCGAAAAGUUAAUACAUUCUGACGUAUGCGAACCUUUUCAACCCCGUUUUCAAAAUCACUAAAUGUUGUUUCCCUGUGUCAAUGCAUAUUUUUCCUGUUGCAUGCUCUAGCAGUCGUUGCAGAGAAAGGAACGAAGUAACCUUCAACUCAGAAUAUUAAAGUUAUACAUUAUUUUCAUCGACGACGUGUCACGAACUUAUCGCAGUUACAGAUAAAUAUCAUAGCAGAGAGAUGAACGUUUCGACGACUACCACACACUUAUGGAACCAUGUUCUUAAAACUGCAUCUGCGCGUGUGCAACCAACAAAUGCAUUAUUCGAAAAAAAAACUUUCUUACGGAGAUUCCCUUCGCAAUUAUUUGUGUAAAGUAUUGAAACAUAACGAUAUAAUCAUCAAGAUAUCUAAAAAAAUGCCUGACUGUACUAGUAUAUGAUUGUAAAAGUAUUGUACAUAAUGUUUGCAUGUAAUGACUGUAUGUAAUGAUUGUGUGUAAUAAUUGUAUGUAAAAUUCUAAAAACGACAUUGAAAUAUCACCUCGGAAAAGAUUGUAAAACAAUUGACAUUAAAUAUAUUUUCUUGAACCUUA
This is a non-coding RNA of Megalopta genalis, 869 nucleotides long. NCBI's taxonomy places the organism in Eukaryota, Metazoa, Arthropoda, Insecta, Hymenoptera, Halictidae. The record is from RefSeq and is a predicted model, not a curated record.